RNAcentral lists this long non-coding RNA (459 nucleotides) under Glycine max (soybean). RNAcentral describes it as "long non-coding RNA (GMAX_LNC001863)". The record is from RNAcentral. Lineage: Eukaryota; Viridiplantae; Streptophyta; Magnoliopsida; Fabales; Fabaceae.
CUCUUAUAUACAAAGCCAAAACAGAAUUAAACUCUCACAAUCAACACAAACAUUACUAUCACCUUGAUCAUUGCUGCCAUUACCUUGAGAGCUGUUGGCACCACCAUAGCGAUCGCCGUCGCCACAACCGUCGGCAGCCACAACUUGCCCAGCUUCGUGCCUGUACCAGCUCCGUGGUGAUUCAUAAGAAAAAUGCAAAUGCAAUUUUUGUACAUGGAGCCAUUACCAUUAACACGAAAAUAUCCACCUGUAUUAGCAAUGAUUCUCUCCCUCUCAAUUGCAUUAACAAUAGAUAGCUUUUGGGGACUUUCCAUUGACCUUGCCUAGUAUCGGUGAACGCUGAAACUGUAGAUUGUUUUAGCAAACCCUAAUUCAAAACCUAUCGCAAUGAAAAGAGCCUCUACACACUUCGCCCCAAGUCGUUUCACUUCAUCACGUUAUUUCAAUUCUUUCAGAGAA